CUCGGUACGCGCGGAUCUUCCAGAAGAUUAGAGUUUGAUCCUAGGCUCAGGAUGAACGUUGGCGGUGUGCCUAAUACAUAGCAAGUCGAACGGAGCUAAUAGCAAUAUUGGCUUAGUGGCGAACGGGUGAGUAACGCGUUGGUGAUCUGCCUUGAAGUGUGGAAUAACGUUCCGAAAGGAUCGCUAAUACCGCAUGUGCUCUCGAUUUUCAGAAAGUUGAGAGUAAAGGAUUUAUUCGCUUCAAGAGGAGCCUGCGUCCCAUCAGCUGGUUGGUAGGGUAACGGCCUACCAAGGCUAUGACGGGUAGGGGACCUGAGAGGGUGGCCCCCCACAAUGGAACUGAAACACGGUCCAUACACCUACGGGUGGCAGCAGUAGGGAAUAUUAGAAAUGGACGAAAGUCUGAUCUAGCAACACCGCGUGUGCGAAGAAGGCCUUCGGGUCGUAAAGCACUUUUUGGAAGGAAUAGGAAGGAAUGUACUUCCAGAAUAAGUCUCGGCUAACUACGUGCCAGCAGCCGCGGUAACACGUAGGAGGCGAACGUUAUCCGGAUUUACUGGGCGUAAAGCGCGUGUAGGUGGUACUGUAAGUAGGGCGUGA
RNAcentral lists this ribosomal RNA (600 nucleotides) under uncultured bacterium. RNAcentral's name for it is "bacterial SSU rRNA". It matches the Rfam family "Bacterial small subunit ribosomal RNA", at positions 1 to 597 of the family's 1533-position model. The record is from RNAcentral.